This 267-nucleotide ribosomal RNA is filed under the name uncultured archaeon. Its description in RNAcentral is "partial 16S ribosomal RNA". It matches the Rfam family "Archaeal small subunit ribosomal RNA", at positions 719 to 982 of the family's 1478-position model. The record is from RNAcentral.
AGUCACUGACAUUAGACUACCCGGGUAGUCCCAGCCGUAAACUAUGCGCGUUAGGUGUACUGGUGACCACGAGUCACCGGGGUGCCGAAGGGAAACCGUGAAACGUGCCGCCUGGGAAGUACGGUCGCAAGGCUGAAACGUUAAAGGGAUUGGCGGGGGAGCACCACAACGGGUGGAGCCUGCGGUUUAAUUGGACUCAACGCCGGAAAUCUCACCGGAUAGGACAGACAUAUGAUAGUCGGGCUGAAGACUCUACUUGAUGAUCUG